RNAcentral lists this ribosomal RNA (874 nucleotides) under uncultured Bacteroidota bacterium. RNAcentral's name for it is "bacterial SSU rRNA". It matches the Rfam family "Bacterial small subunit ribosomal RNA", at positions 615 to 1501 of the family's 1533-position model. The record is from RNAcentral. Lineage: Bacteria; Pseudomonadati; Bacteroidota.
GUAGAACUGCCAUUGAUACUGCAUCUCUUGAGUAUGGUUGAGGUAGGCGGAAUGUGUCGUGUAGCGGUGAAAUGCAUAGAUAUGACACAGAACGCCAAUUGCGAAGGCAGCUUACUAAACCAUUACUGACACUGAGGCACGAAAGCGUGGGGAGCGAACAGGAUUAGAUACCCUGGUAGUCCACGCCGUAAACGAUGUUCACUCGCUGUUUGCGAUACACAGCAAGCGGCUUAGCGAAAGCAUUAAGUGAACCACCUGGGGAGUACGAUCGCAAGGUUGAAACUCAAAGGAAUUGACGGGGGUCCGCACAAGCGGAGGAACAUGUGGUUUAAUUCGAUGAUACGCGAGGAACCUUACCUGGGCUUAAAUGUAGAUUGCAUAACUUAGAAAUAGGUUUUCCCUUCGGGGCUAUUUACAAGGUGCUGCAUGGUUGUCGUCAGCUCGUGCCGUGAGGUGUCGGGUUAAGUCCCAUAACGAGCGCAACCCCUAUCGUUAGUUGCCAGCGGAUAAUGCCGGGGACUCUAGCGAGACUGCCACCGUAAGGUGAGAGGAAGGUGGGGAUGACGUCAAAUCAGCACGGCCCUUAUGUCCAGGGCUACACACGUGUUACAAUGGCCGAUACAAAGGGCAGCUACCAGGCAACUGGAUGCUAAUCUCUAAAGUCGGUCCCAGUUCGGAUUGGAGUCUGCAACCCGACUCCAUGAAGUUGGAUUCGCUAGUAAUCGGAUAUCAGCAAUGAUCCGGUGAAUACGUUCCCGGGCCUUGUACACACCGCCCGUCAAACCAUGGAAGCUGGGGGUACCUGAAGUCUGUGACCGCAAGGAGCGGCCUAGGGUAAAACUAGUAACUAGGGUUAAGUCGUAACAAGGUAGCC